Molecule: non-coding RNA, 957 nt
Filed under: Atlantolacerta andreanskyi
Lineage: Eukaryota; Metazoa; Chordata; Lepidosauria; Squamata; Lacertidae
Description: partial small subunit ribosomal RNA
Rfam family: Bacterial small subunit ribosomal RNA
Source: RNAcentral
ACAGUUUUGGUCCUGGGCUUACCGUUAUUUUUUAUCAAGAUUACACAUGCAAGUUUCAACAUACCAGUGAAAAUACCCACAACCCCUAAAAAGAAAUCUUGGAGUAGGUAUCAGGCACUACCCAUUAAGCCCAUGACGCCUUGUUACACCACACCCCCACGGGUUAAUCAGCAGUGAUAAACAUUGGGCCAUAAGUGAAAGCUUGACCCAGCUAUGAUAUUUAGGGCUGGUUAAUUUCGUGCCAGCCACCGCGGUUAAACGAAAGGCCCUGAAUAACGGCAAAACGGCGUAAAAUGUGACUAGAUAUGCUUAAUUUUAAAAAUAUUAAAAUCUACAACUUAGUAGUAAAAUACUUAAGCUAUAGAGAAAACCAAUACAAAUAUUUUUAAUCUUAAACCCUUGACCACACGAAAGCUUAGAAACAAACUAGGAUUAGAUACCCUACUAUGCUAAGCCCUAAACAUUGAUAAGCUAACAUACUAUGCUUUCCGCCAGAGAACUACAAGUGAAAAACUUGAAACUCAAAGGACUUGGCGGUGUCCCAUAUCGGCCUAGAGGAGCCUGUCCUAUAAUCGAUACCCCCCGUUUCACCCAACCUCCACUAGCACCCAACAGCCUAUAUACCGCCGUCGACAGUCUACCCCAUGAGGGUUUAAUAGUAGACAAAAUAGCAUGCCCGCUAAUACGUCAGGUCAAGGUGUAGCAAAUGUGGCGGAAGAGAUUGGCUACAUUUUUUAUUUUAAAAAACACGAAAGGCACUAUGAAACCCUGCAUGAAGGUGAAUUUAGUAGUAAAAUAGAUAAGAGUGUCUAUUUUAACAACGCUCUGGGACGCGCACACACCGCCCGUCACCCUCCUCGUCUACAUCUAACCAAACAUAUAUAAACCAACAUAAAUAUAAUUAGAGGAGGUAAGUCGUAACAUGGUAAGCGUACCGGAAGGUGUGCUUGGAUUAAC